RNAcentral lists this ribosomal RNA (1866 nucleotides) under Salmonella enterica. Its description in RNAcentral is "partial 23S ribosomal RNA". It matches the Rfam family "Bacterial large subunit ribosomal RNA", at positions 1085 to 2925 of the family's 2925-position model. Lineage: Bacteria; Pseudomonadati; Pseudomonadota; Gammaproteobacteria; Enterobacterales; Enterobacteriaceae. The record is from RNAcentral.
CCAGACAGCCAGGAUGUUGGCUUAGAAGCAGCCAUCAUUUAAAGAAAGCGUAAUAGCUCACUGGUCGAGUCGGCCUGCGCGGAAGAUGUAACGGGGCUAAACCAUGCACCGAAGCUGCGGCAGCGACACUCAGGUGUUGUUGGGUAGGGGAGCGUUCUGUAAGCCUGCGAAGGUGGCCUGUGAGGGUUGCUGGAGGUAUCAGAAGUGCGAAUGCUGACAUAAGUAACGAUAAAGCGGGUGAAAAGCCCGCUCGCCGGAAGACCAAGGGUUCCUGUCCAACGUUAAUCGGGGCAGGGUGAGUCGACCCCUAAGGCGAGGCCGAAAGGCGUAGUCGAUGGGAAACGGGUUAAUAUUCCCGUACUUGGUGUUACUGCGAAGGGGGGACGGAGAAGGCUAUGUUGGCCGGGCGACGGUUGUCCCGGUUUAAGCGUGUAGGUGUGUGUUCCAGGUAAAUCCGGUUCACUUUAACACUGAGGCGUGAUGACGAGGCACUACGGUGCUGAAGCAACAAAUGCCCUGCUUCCAGGAAAAGCCUCUAAGCAUCAGGUAACAUCAAAUCGUACCCCAAACCGACACAGGUGGUCAGGUAGAGAAUACCAAGGCGCUUGAGAGAACUCGGGUGAAGGAACUAGGCAAAAUGGUGCCGUAACUUCGGGAGAAGGCACGCUGACACGUAGGUGAAGUGAUUUACUCAUGGAGCUGAAGUCAGUCGAAGAUACCAGCUGGCUGCAACUGUUUAUUAAAAACACAGCACUGUGCAAACACGAAAGUGGACGUAUACGGUGUGACGCCUGCCCGGUGCCGGAAGGUUAAUUGAUGGGGUCAGCGCAAGCGAAGCUCCUGAUCGAAGCCCCGGUAAACGGCGGCCGUAACUAUAACGGUCCUAAGGUAGCGAAAUUCCUUGUCGGGUAAGUUCCGACCUGCACGAAUGGCGUAAUGAUGGCCAGGCUGUCUCCACCCGAGACUCAGUGAAAUUGAACUCGCUGUGAAGAUGCAGUGUACCCGCGGCAAGACGGAAAGACCCCGUGAACCUUUACUAUAGCUUGACACUGAACAUUGAGCCUUGAUGUGUAGGAUAGGUGGGAGGCUUUGAAGUGUGGACGCCAGUCUGCAUGGAGCCGGCCUUGAAAUACCACCCUUUAAUGUUUGAUGUUCUAACGUGGACCCGUGAUCCGGGUUGCGGACAGUGUCUGGUGGGUAGUUUGACUGGGGCGGUCUCCUCCUAAAGAGUAACGGAGGAGCACGAAGGUUGGCUAAUCCUGGUCGGACAUCAGGAGGUUAGUGCAAUGGCAUAAGCCAGCUUGACUGCGAGCGUGACGGCGCGAGCAGGUGCGAAAGCAGGUCAUAGUGAUCCGGUGGUUCUGAAUGGAAGGGCCAUCGCUCAACGGAUAAAAGGUACUCCGGGGAUAACAGGCUGAUACCGCCCAAGAGUUCAUAUCGACGGCGGUGUUUGGCACCUCGAUGUCGGCUCAUCACAUCCUGGGGCUGAAGUAGGUCCCAAGGGUAUGGCUGUUCGCCAUUUAAAGUGGUACGCGAGCUGGGUUUAGAACGUCGUGAGACAGUUCGGUCCCUAUCUGCCGUGGGCGCUGGAGAACUGAGGGGGGCUGCUCCUAGUACGAGAGGACCGGAGUGGACGCAUCACUGGUGUUCGGGUUGUCAUGCCAAUGGCACUGCCCGGUAGCUAAAUGCGGAAGAGAUAAGUGCUGAAAGCAUCUAAGCACGAAACUUGCCCCGAGAUGAGUUCUCCCUGAGACUUUAGGUCUCCUGAAGGAACGUUGAAGACGACGACGUUGAUAGGCCGGGUGUGUAAGCGCAGCGAUGCGUUGAGCUAACCGGUACUAAUGAACCGUGAGGCUUAACCUUACA